UUGACCUCGGAUCAGUAGGAACCCC
Molecule: ribosomal RNA, 25 nt
Filed under: Penicillium sp. s041
Lineage: Eukaryota; Fungi; Ascomycota; Eurotiomycetes; Eurotiales; Aspergillaceae
Description: partial 28S ribosomal RNA
Source: RNAcentral